AUUUAGGAUAAGGUAUAAUAAUUUAACCUGCACCAUUGUUUCUGUGAAUAAUUGAGGUCUGAAAAGGGACAUUUGAAAGACAGUGCAGGCAUAUGUUAUAUUCAAUAUGGGUUCCUAGGAUCAUAUUACAAACAAAAAAAACAACAAUAUUCGUAUAAAACGAGUUACAUAUUUUUAAUUAAUUAUCCCUCCCCCCAAAAAUCCAUAAUCACAUAAAACAAUUCAAAACCAAUUUCUCACUUUUCAAUGUUUUAAGAUGUUGAGGCAUACAGCACUAUCUUAAUAAAUCACUUUUCCUACAGUCAGACAACUACUUAGAGUUGAAAAUCUAAUUAUAUUAUUGGACAGGGUGUCAUUAAGUACACUUGUUCACAUUAUUUCCUGUAUGUGGCACAAAAAUAACAAAUAAUAUAUCCACUUAAGCCCACGGCUAGGGCCAUGGUAAUAUAUCCACUGAAUGGAGGCCAUGGUAAUAUAUCCACUGAAUAGAGGCCCAUGGCUAGGGCCAUGGUAAUAUAUCCACUGAAUGGAUGCCAUGGUAAUAUAUCCACUGAAUGGAGGCCAUGGUAAUAUAUCCACUGAAUGGAGGCCAUGGUAAUAUAUCCACUGAAUGGGGGCCAUGGUAAUAUGUCCACUGAAUGGGGGCCAUGGUAAUAUAUCCACUGAAUGGGGGCCAUGGUAAUAUAUCCACUGAAUGGAGGCCAUGGUAAUAUGUCCACUGAAUGGAGGCCAUGGUAAUAUAUCCACUGAAUGGAGGCCAUGGUAAUAUAUCCACUCAAUGGAGGCCCAUGGCUAGGGCCAUGGUAAUAUAUCCACUGAAUGGGGGCCAUGGUAAUAUAUCCACUGAAUGGAGGCCAUGGUAAUAUAUCCACUGAAUGGAGGCCCAUGGCUAGGGCCAUGAUAAUAUAUCCACUGAAUGGAGGCCAUGGUAAUAUAUCCACUGAAUGGAGGCCCAUGGCUAGGGCCAUGGUAAUAUAUCCACUUAGAGGACCAUGGCUAGGGCCAUGGUAAUAUAUCCACUUAGAGGACCAUGGCUAGGCCCAUGGUAAUAUAUCCACUUAGAGGACCAUGGCUAGGCCCAUGGUAAUAUAUCCACUUAGAGGACCAUGGCCAGGGCCAUGGUAAUCUGAAAUAUUUGAAAAAUAAAAUAAAUGAUCACAGCACACACUUUAAGUGAUCAUCCCCACACAGAGUCAGCUUCUCUCCAGUGGAGAACAGAGUAACCAGCCUAAAGACUAAAGAUCAUUUCCCUAUGAUCAAAUUAAAACGUUUUUUAAAAAAUUUUUUAAAUACCCUCUAAGAACGGCUCUAUUCAUUCUUUCCAUCAACUGAAUUUCUGACAACUGAUUCAUUUAGUCUGGAUUUAUGUUGGGGGGUAAAACCAAGGAAACAUGACACACUCACAAGAUGGAUGACAGCCUUUGGCUUUACCAUUCCAAAUCACAAAUCUCAACACAUCGAAUCUCUAUCCAUGUGCGUAUCAGCUACCAGUAGCAGAAUGACAAGACAAACUUCCACUGGAAUCUCUCGCGGGGCACAGCGCUUGUUUUGUGUCCGGGGGGGGGGCAUCUACGGUCUUCUAGGCGGAGCCGACCUGUGUGACGUGGCGUCUCCGAUCUUCUAGGGGAGCCGACCUGCGUGUGUGUUUCUGGUCUAGGGGGAGACAGAGCUGGCCUCCUGGUAGAUGAAGGAGUAGAGGCUGAUGUCAGGACGGCGGGUGAAGCAGCUCUGACACAUUGAGCUGUAGUACUGACCCAGCAAACUGUACAGAGC
This is a long non-coding RNA of Oncorhynchus tshawytscha (Chinook salmon), 1773 nucleotides long. The record is from Ensembl. NCBI's taxonomy places the organism in Eukaryota, Metazoa, Chordata, Actinopteri, Salmoniformes, Salmonidae.